RNA transcript from Quercus lobata, 2890 nucleotides. It is a transcript of the gene named aminopeptidase M1-like, with no coding region annotated. Lineage: Eukaryota; Viridiplantae; Streptophyta; Magnoliopsida; Fagales; Fagaceae. The transcript is spliced from 12 exons. The record is from RefSeq and is a predicted model, not a curated record.
ACUAACACGAAAUUCAGAGUGACUGAGAAACGUAGAGAGAAAUGGAGACAAAAACAAAACAAAGCAUAGAGCAAUUCAAAGGACAAACAAGGCUACCAAAAUUUGCAAUCCCAACAAGUUAUGAUCUUUAUCUCAAACUUGAUCUCACAGCAUGCACUUUUUCUGGUACAGUACAAGUCAACCUUAACAUCAUCGAACACACUAAGUUCCUUGUCCUAAAUGUUCUCGAACUUGAUGUACAUCAAGUCUGGUUCACCAACUCCAAUCACCAAACAUAUAAGCCUUGUGAUGUUGUUGUUUUGGAUGGUGAAGAUGAGAUACUGGUGCUGGGGUUUGAUGAAGUGCUUAGUGUUGGUGAUGGGGUUUUGGGGAUUGAGUUUUCUGGAUCCCUUAACCCACACUUGAAGGGUCUCUAUAAAUGUUGCUUAAAUCACUUAUUUAACUCUGUGACUUCUUAUUUGAAACAGAAAUCCUUAAGUUUAUACAUAAAAAGAUAUGCUGGGAAAAAUGCAAAGACAGAAGAUUUAUGGUGCGUUCUUUCAGAGGAAUCUGGUCUUCAAAUCAACUCAAUGAUGGAUGAUUGGACGAAGAAAAAUGGAUAUCCAGUUAUCUCUGUAAAAUCCAAAGAUGAUAUUUUGGAAUUUGAACAGUCACAAUUCUUGUCGUCUGGUUUGUGUGGUGAUGGACUAUGGAUUGUUCCAAUAACGGUAUCCAUUGGCUCAUACAUCAAAUGCAAGACUUUCCUUUUGGAAAAAAAAGUCUCAAAAACUGGAUAUAUCUGAACUGGUUCAUUCUCCCCACCAAAACAAAAGCACAUUUAACGAAAAGAAUGAAGAGAAAUGUGAUGAACAUUUCUGGGUCAAAGUUAAUAUUGAGCAGAGUGGUUUCUACAGGGUAAAAUAUGAAGAUAAGCUUGCAGCUCGACUGAGGAAAGCCAUAGAGAGUAAUUGCUUGUCAGCAACAGAUAAAUUUGGCGUUUUGGAUGACACAUAUGCUCUUUGUGUGGCUUGCGAGCAACCACUGUCGUCAUUGCUUUCCUUGAUGGAUGUAUACAGAAAAGAGCUUGAUUUUAUUGUGUUAUCGAAACUCAUUAAUGUAUGUUAUAAAGUUUUUGAGAUCUCUGGUGAUGCUAUCCCAGAUUUAGUGAAUGACUUGAAACAAUUUUUCAUCAAUCUCCUUCUGUUUUCCUCAGAAAAAUCAGGAUGGGAAUCAAUACCUGGAGAGAGUCAUUUAAAUGCACUAUCGAGAGGAGAAGUCUUUCUGGCCUUGGUUACUUUUGGCCAUGAUAAAACUAAGAAAGAAGCAGUCCAGAGGUUUCAGGCAUUACUGAAUGAUCAAAAUACUCCUCUUCUGUCAGCUGACACUAGAAAGGCUGCUUACAUUGCUGUAUUGCUGAACACUAGCACCACGAAUAGGAAUGGGUUUGAGUCCUUACUGAAGCUCUAUAGAGAAGCAGAUACAGUGCAAGAGAAAGAACCACUUUUACGUUGUAUUGCAUCGUGUCCAGACCCAAAUAUAGUUCUUGAGGCUCUGAAUUUUAUGUUGUCUGAGGAGGUUCGAGAUCAAGAUAUUCUUUAUGUGCUUGCUGGACUAAGAUCUGAAGGGCGUGAGGUAGCGUGGAGAUGGUUGAAGGAGAAUUGGGACUUGAUCUUUAGCAAAUAUGGUGCAAUUCUACUCCACCAGUUCAUUACCUACAUUCUCACUUUGUUUUGCAGCAAUGAAAAGGCUGAGGAGAUAGAAGAAUUUUUUGUCAGCCGAGUGCAUCCUUCUUUUACUAGGAAUUUGAAGCAAAGCAUCGAGGAAAUCCGACUCAAAGCAAGGUGGAUUGAGAACAUAAGGCAGGAGCAAUCUCUACUAGAACUAGUCAAACAAUUGGCUCUCAAGAAAUGAAAGCCUUCAAUUUGAUUCCAAAACUAUAUUGUGAUUAUGUUAAGACUGAUGAGCUACAUACACUGCAUACUCCACAAAUUGUGUUCUAUAUGUAUGGUGUAUUGGUGUUAUUCAAGUCAACUUAAUAUACCAUGAACAGGUUCCAACCUGGCAUCAUUAUCCUAAGGCAAGUCAGUUGAGUCAGACCAGCAAAUCAACUGGAUUAUAUAUAUUCUCAAGUUCCUUUUCAAUAUUCCUACUAGCCACUAGGACAGCCAUACCUAGUCUUAAUUUAUUUGGUCAGGCGGAAAGUGGUUUAUUAGAGCCCUCAUACAAAGUGCACGACCCCAAACGCCUUUGCUUAGUUUAUUAUAAGCUGAACACCUAAAACAAAAAGUUAAAAUCGUCUAUAAAAUAUCUUUACUUCUUUCAUUACUUUUAUAAACUAUUGUCAUGACCUUACUUGAACAGGAAGUGUUCUAUAUCAACUAUCUGUCAGAUGCCAACAUAGGGCCAUUCCAUAGCCCAAUCUCUCUCCCCUUGAAGUUGUCUAAAUACAAAAGUAGCAUUACUUCUGCAUUACUACUUACCUGUCAUAUGCUUAGAGUCCCCAUUCCCUUGACUACUCCCUCUCAUAUGUAGAAUCUCGCACAGAAAGAAAGGUAAAAUCCAAAUGUAAACACGUGUUCCUGUCCAUUUUUAAUAAAAAAGGCCAAAGACCGCAGCUUUUGAAUAAACACAAAAUCUGACAACCUUAAUGCCCAAAGCAUACCUUAUCAUACAUCUCUGUAAAUUUCUUUAACAAAUACAAUUGGAAUUUGGAAAACCGCAUACAAAAAGAAUUAACAAAAAAAAGAAAAAUAUCCCAAAUACAUUAAACUUCCUCUGUAACUAUAUAUGUAACAUGUAUAAUCAGAUUUUAUGUGUAUGUCAGAACAGCUCACUUUUAACAAAACCUUCAAAACAGAAAGUCAAGACUGAGAAAAAAAAUCAAAAAAUGACCAAAAAAGGAAAAAAAAAA